UUUUCGGCAUUGUUUUACUGAGAAAGCAAACGAUUGCCUCAAAGCUGCUUAAAUAUUGUAGUUUCUAACGAUAAAAUGAAACUUUGUAAGAAGAAGUUGUCCUAUUUUUCAUCAAAUUUCAACGUAUAUUGAACAGUGAUACUGUCGUCACAGAAUAGAUAACGUAAUCUAUUCUGUGUCUUUGUUUUACAUAACAAUAAAUGCCCAAAAUUAUUUGCUCCGUAUCCACUCAAGCGACGCAUACAUUUGACGCUUAAUUCUUCAGAACGUUGAAUUUAUCUGAAAGAUUGAAUGUUCAAAGUCCCAACCGUCGACCAGCAAAAGGAGAUCCUGACUCACUCUUCAUCUUCGUUUGCUAUUUAAAUGUGUUUAUGUAACAAAACUUACAUGGAUAAAGAUUGAUGUAACAAUAAGGUAUGUGACAUGUAAAGAACUGAAGCAAGCUUAAUUUCGACGUCGAGGUCGUCAGAUAUAAAGUCUUACUUCUACAACAAAGCAUUUUGAAAACAGAAAGGCAUUUCUAAAAGCUCAAAAACGAUAUAUGACGUAGCUCUUUGACAUGCAGAUAGAAUCAAGAGAAAAAAGAAACCUAUUUUACAUUAGUCAAAUAAUUAAUGUUGUUCAAAAGGAACUUGCUUCGUUUUUCAUCAAACAAUGGAACUUUCAUUACAAAUCAUCUCAUGGAGAAUGGGAUGAUACACCCAAAAGUGGCAAAAAAUUUUGCACUUUAGAACGUAUAAAACCAAAUGUCCAUAAAAAAUAUCGGGAUGGAGACACCAGUAAGUGGGACUGUACGAUAUUAUUUGAUGCUAUACUUUUUUCAAAUUCAAUUACAAUGCAUCUUGACAAAGAAACAAAUGAUGCUGUUCAUGCACUUCGUGGUGAAAGAAACAAGUACGCACAUUGGUAUGAAGGGGAAUGCUCAGAUGAUGAUUUUGAUGAUAUAGUCAACAUCAUUGAAAAAUCCUUUCAAGAUUUGAAAUUUUCUCUUGAUGCAAUCAAUGAAAUAAAAAAUCAUCGAAAGUGUUUUAAUUCGUUCCAAGUUCUUCCUUCAAAAUCUAAUCAUUUUUUUGUUGAACGCACUGAAUUACGAGA
This is a long non-coding RNA of Xenia sp. Carnegie-2017, 1095 nucleotides long. RefSeq lists it as uncharacterized. The transcript has 5 exons. The record is from RefSeq and is a predicted model, not a curated record. NCBI's taxonomy places the organism in Eukaryota, Metazoa, Cnidaria, Anthozoa, Malacalcyonacea, Xeniidae.